UUGGAAGAGUUCGAGAGGGAGGAGGCUUCUCUUCUGGAUAAAAACAAAUUUGAAACCUUGGUUUGUCAGCUGGCAAGAGUGGGUGGGAAAGAUGUAAAGGACUGCACGCACAAAGUGAUGGACAGGCUCUUCACCAACAACCUAAAGACACUGUUUAAUUUGA
Perca fluviatilis (European perch) is the source of this 163-nucleotide long non-coding RNA. RefSeq lists it as uncharacterized. The record is from RefSeq and is a predicted model, not a curated record. NCBI's taxonomy places the organism in Eukaryota, Metazoa, Chordata, Actinopteri, Perciformes, Percidae. The transcript has 3 exons.